Molecule: ribosomal RNA, 544 nt
Filed under: uncultured fungus
Lineage: Eukaryota; Fungi
Description: SSU rRNA
Rfam family: Eukaryotic small subunit ribosomal RNA
Source: RNAcentral
AGCAGGCGCGCAAAUUACCCAAUCCCGACACGGGGAGGUAGUGACAAUAAAUACUGAUACAGGGCCCUUUUGGGUCUUGUAAUUGGAAUGAGUACAAUUUAAAUCCCUUAACGAGGAACAAUUGGAGGGCAAGUCUGGUGCCAGCAGCCGCGGUAAUUCCAGCUCCAAUAGCGUAUAUUAAAGUUGUUGCAGUUAAAAAGCUCGUAGUUGAACCUUGGGCCUGGCUGGCCGGUCCGCCUCACCGCGUGCACUAGUUCGGCCGGGCCUUUCCUUCUGGGGAGCCGCAUGCCCUUUACUGGGUGUGUUGAGGACCCAGAACUUUUACUUUGAAAAAAUUAGAGUGUUCAAAGCAGGCCUUUGCUCGAAUACAUUAGCAUGGAAUAAUAGAGUAGGACGUGCGGUUCUAUUUUGUUGGUUUCUAGGACCGCCGCAUGAUUAAUAGGGAUAGUCGGGGGCAUCAGUAUUCAAUUGUCAGAGGUGAAAUUCUUGGAUUUAUUGAAGACUAACUACUGCGAAAGCAUUUGCCAAGGAUGUUUUCAUUAAU